GUUUACACGUGCAUCCCCUGGUCACUGAUUGGCCCCUGUGAAGAGCAGCUGGAACUGUGAUUGGGCACCAGACCAGGAGCUCCCUCUGCUUUGCUAGGCUGUGCCAAGAUGUGAGCUACUGAGAUCCUCAAGGGGAUAAGUCAAUGUUUUACAGGAAAAUGUCUUUGCACAUCUUGAGUUGUAUCCAAGUCACAUAAGUCCAACAAAAGAGGUGCAGAUGCCAUGCAAAAGGAUGUAACUUAUCCAAACAAGGGUGCUGGCUGAAAUGCUAGAGUCCAAUAAAGGCUGCACUGGAUCCAAGGAAAUGCAUUCUGUGGUGUUGAAAUAUUCAGAUGCUAUGAUGAUGAGGCCAGAAAGGAUGGUGCAUAAAGAUGUGAUCAGCACCCUCUAUAAUUUAUACAUGUGUGCUGACUUGGCCUCAGAGACCCCAGCCAGCUGCUGAAAUGAAUGAUCUCUUCAGGAAAUGGUGUAGCAGAGGAGGGGAGGUGAAGUUCGGUGAGGGGGAGGUCUGGGCAGGCCAGGAU
Mauremys reevesii (Reeves's turtle) is the source of this 524-nucleotide long non-coding RNA. RefSeq lists it as uncharacterized. The record is from RefSeq and is a predicted model, not a curated record. The transcript is spliced from 3 exons. Lineage: Eukaryota; Metazoa; Chordata; Testudines; Geoemydidae.